ACCAUCCAGGACCUGCGGGGCAAGAUUCUUGGUGCCACCAUUGAGAACUCCAGGAUUGUCCUGGAGAUCGACAAC
Molecule: non-coding RNA, 75 nt
Organism: Pongo abelii (Sumatran orangutan)
Lineage: Eukaryota; Metazoa; Chordata; Mammalia; Primates; Hominidae
Source: Rfam